ACGCACGCUGGCGGCGUGCUUAACACAUGCAAGUCGAGCGGUAAGGCCUUUCUGGGUACACGAGCGGCGAACGGGUGAGUAACACGUGGGUGAUCUGCCCUGCACUUCGGGAUAAGCCUGGGAAACUGGGUCUAAUACCGGAUAUGACCUCCUAUCGCAUGGUGGGUGGUGGAAAGAUUUAUCGGUGCAGGAUGGGCCCGCGGCCUAUCAGCUUGUUGGUGGGGUAAUGGCCUACCAAGGCGACGACGGGUAGCCGACCUGAGAGGGUGACCGGCCACACUGGGACUGAGACACGGCCCAGACUCCUACGGGAGGCAGCAGUGGGGAAUAUUGCACAAUGGGCGAAAGCCUGAUGCAGCGACGCCGCGUGAGGGAUGACGGCCUUCGGGUUGUAAACCUCUUUCAGCAGGGACGAAGCGAAAGUGACGGUACCUGCAGAAGAAGCACCGGCUAACUACGUG
RNAcentral lists this ribosomal RNA (461 nucleotides) under uncultured bacterium. RNAcentral's name for it is "partial 16S ribosomal RNA". It matches the Rfam family "Bacterial small subunit ribosomal RNA", at positions 29 to 507 of the family's 1533-position model. The record is from RNAcentral.